Molecule: ribosomal RNA, 209 nt
Filed under: uncultured bacterium
Lineage: Bacteria
Description: partial 16S ribosomal RNA
Rfam family: Bacterial small subunit ribosomal RNA
Source: RNAcentral
CGCGUAGGCGGUCAUUUAAGUCAGGUGUGAAAGCCCCCCGGCUCAACUGGGGAAAGCCACCUGAUACUGGAUGACUUUGAGUGCGGGAGAGGGAAGUGGAAUUCCAUGUGUAGCGGUGAAAUGCGUAGAUAUAUGGAGGAACACCAGUGGCGAAGGCGGCUUCCUGGACCGUAACUGACGCUGAGGCGCGAAAGCUGGGGGAGUGAACG